UGGCAGUCUGUGCAGUCCUUGCCUAGACACCCUGGUCGGGCUCCCUCUUAAGAACUGUGGAAUUGGAAAGGGUCUUAGAAGACUUAAAGUCCAUCUUUUUCUGAGUUACAGAUGGGAAGACUGAGGCCUGUGCAGAGAAAAGGGAAUAUACAAGAAGAAGAAGAAGAAGAAGAAGAAGAAGAAGAAGAAGAAGAAGAAGAAGAAGAAGAACAACAACAACAACAACAACAACUACUAUCUAUGCAGGCUUCUGAGGCACUUUUUAAUACUUGGUUAUUAAACCUAGAAAUGAUGUGUCUUCUGA
Arvicola amphibius (Eurasian water vole) is the source of this 304-nucleotide long non-coding RNA. RefSeq lists it as uncharacterized. Lineage: Eukaryota; Metazoa; Chordata; Mammalia; Rodentia; Cricetidae. The transcript has 2 exons. The record is from RefSeq and is a predicted model, not a curated record.